RNAcentral lists this ribosomal RNA (610 nucleotides) under Pseudomonas sp. 4FB4. RNAcentral describes it as "bacterial SSU rRNA". It matches the Rfam family "Bacterial small subunit ribosomal RNA", at positions 54 to 659 of the family's 1533-position model. The record is from RNAcentral. Lineage: Bacteria; Pseudomonadati; Pseudomonadota; Gammaproteobacteria; Pseudomonadales; Pseudomonadaceae.
CAUGCAAGUCGAGCGGAUGAGUGGAGCUUGCUCCAUGAUUCAGCGGCGGACGGGUGAGUAAUGCCUAGGAAUCUGCCUGGUAGUGGGGGACAACGUUUCGAAAGGAACGCUAAUACCGCAUACGUCCUACGGGAGAAAGUGGGGGAUCUUCGGACCUCACGCUAUCAGAUGAGCCUAGGUCGGAUUAGCUAGUUGGCGAGGUAAAGGCUCACCAAGGCGACGAUCCGUAACUGGUCUGAGAGGAUGAUCAGUCACACUGGAACUGAGACACGGUCCAGACUCCUACGGGAGGCAGCAGUGGGGAAUAUUGGACAAUGGGCGAAAGCCUGAUCCAGCCAUGCCGCGUGUGUGAAGAAGGUCUUCGGAUUGUAAAGCACUUUAAGUUGGGAGGAAGGGCAGUAAGUUAAUACCUUGCUGUUUUGACGUUACCGACAGAAUAAGCACCGGCUAACUUCGUGCCAGCAGCCGCGGUAAUACGAAGGGUGCAAGCGUUAAUCGGAAUUACUGGGCGUAAAGCGCGCGUAGGUGGUUCGUUAAGUUGGAUGUGAAAGCCCCGGGCUCAACCUGGGAACUGCAUCCAAAACUGGCGAGCUAGAGUAUGGCAGAGGGU